GUAAUUUCUAGUCCAGGCCAUGGAUAUCAGGACGGGCUGGAUUGACCUCAGCCCUGCGUUGGAGGAAGAAGGAAUUUUAAGUCAAGGGGUCAAAACUCAGAUACAGACACGCCCAGGCAGGCUGCACGCAGAGCAUUCUUCUAGUUUCCUGACACCUUCGGCCACCCUGCUGAAAUUCCAAGAAGCCGACUCUGCAUUUCUAGGUGACCGGGUCCAGCGGGGCCAGGCUGGCCCACCCACCCAGCCUCUGGUGCUGCUUCCCCUUUGGUUUCACCGGCUGAGGGGCCAGGAUGACACAGGUGCCAGGGACACCAACCACAUCUGAAAGACUUUCUUAACCAGCCUUCAAGUGCCUGGGUCGUGACCCCCUCAGCAGGAGAAGAUCUUGCUCCCCACCCACCAGGAACCACAGACCCCUCAGUCUCACAAAUGGCAGUUUGUCCUUCUGUCCAUCAAGGCCUGGCGUUGUCUGCCUCCUGGGAACCUCAGCAUCCUCCCGGAGGAGAUGUCACUACAUACCCAGCCCCACUGCCUCUCUUCCAAAGAACGAAAAGAGGAGAAAUCGAAAACAUAAUUCUGUAGCUGCAGGAAGAUCAGAGCAAAGAGAAAAAGAAGCAUCAGCAGACUUCCUCAACAGGAGCAUUUCGAGGCGAAGGAACAGAACACCAUGUCAACAGCAUCUCAGAGUGACCGUUUCUGGCGCUUGUUAGCACUGCCUUCAGAAACCGAGCGACUUUCAACUUUGGGUACAGACGGUAAAGAGCCGAAGUACUCACUACUCAAAGGGAUGGAGAAAUGUUAAGUCUUGUAUAAAUGCCAUACAAUUAAUUUCCAAUGGUGUAGAUAUUAAGUAAAAGUCUGUGAAUAUGUUAAUGAGGCCAAUUUUUCCAGCAUUUGUAAUGAUUUUUUUCACUUGUUAGGAAGCUUUUGUUAUGUAUUUUCUGUUAAUAGUACUUAAAACUGUAACAAGUGAAAAAAUAAUAAUAAAAGGAUAAAAAGAAA
This 1002-nucleotide long non-coding RNA is filed under the name Equus caballus (horse). Its description in RNAcentral is "lncRNA (ENSECAG00000051864.1)". Lineage: Eukaryota; Metazoa; Chordata; Mammalia; Perissodactyla; Equidae. The record is from RNAcentral.